Molecule: ribosomal RNA, 501 nt
Filed under: uncultured bacterium
Lineage: Bacteria
Description: partial 16S ribosomal RNA
Rfam family: Bacterial small subunit ribosomal RNA
Source: RNAcentral
AUUGAACGCUGGCGGCAGGCUUAACACAUGCAAGUCGAGCGGAGCGAGGGUGCUUGCACCUUAGCUUAGCGGCGGACGGGUGAGUAAUGCUUAGGAAUCUGCCUAUUAGUGGGGGACAACAUUCCGAAAGGGAUGCUAAUACCGCAUACGCCCUACGGGGGAAAGCAGGGGAUCUUCGGACCUUGCGCUAAUAGAUGAGCCUAAGUCGGAUUAGCUAGUUGGUGGGGUAAAGGCCUACCAAGGCGACGAUCUGUAGCGGGUCUGAGAGGAUGAGCCGCCACACUGGGACUGAGAAACGGCCCAGACUCCUACGGGAGGCAGCAGUGGGGAAUAUUGGACAAUGGGCGGAAGCCUGAUCCAGCCAUGCCGCGUGUGUGAAGAAGGCCUUUUGGUUGUAAAGCACUUUAAGCGAGGAGGAGGCUACCAGUAUUAAUACUACUGGAUAGUGGACGUUACUCGCAGAAUAAGCACCGGCUAACUCUGUGCCAGCCGCCGCAGUAA